AUGGUCCUGAUUUUCCUGGCAACCCUGGUGGAACUGGCAGACUUGGGCCAUGCCCAAAAGGACUCCGUGCUCCAGUUCCCAGCAGAAACAACCAUCCACAUGGGACACAAUGCAACUCUGUACUGCAAUUUCUCCACCAGCGAUCCCAAUCCCUACAUCUUCUGGUACCAGCAGCACCAGACCCAGUCCCCUCAGAUGCUGCUGUGGGUGAGCAAGUACAAAACUCACGUGGAUUCAGGGAGGUUCUCUUCUGCGCUGUCUUUGGAGACCUCCAAAGUGCUUCUGCACGUACAGGAUGCUGAGCUCCAGGACAAUGCUGCCUAUUUCUGUGCCCUUAGCCCACAUUGGUAA
Mesitornis unicolor (brown roatelo) is the source of this 351-nucleotide non-coding RNA. The record is from the annotation of a RefSeq genome assembly. Lineage: Eukaryota; Metazoa; Chordata; Aves; Mesitornithiformes; Mesitornithidae.